GAUGAACGCUAGCGGGAGGCUUAACACAUGCAAGUCGAGGGGCAGCAUAGGGUAGCAAUACUCUGAUGGCGACCGGCAAACGGGUGAGUAACGCGUAUGCAACCUACCCUGUACAGGGGGAUAACCCGGAGAAAUUCGGACUAAUAUCCCGUAAUAAUAUCCGGAGGCAUCUUUGGAUAUUUAAAGUUUCGACGGUACGGGAUGGGCAUGCGUAACAUUAGCUGGUUGGUAAGGUAACGGCUUACCAAGGCUAUGAUGUUUAGGGGUCCUGAGAGGGUGGUCCCCCACACUGGUACUGAGACACGGACCAGACUCCUACGGGAGGCAGCAGUGAGGAAUAUUGGUCAAUGGGCGCAAGCCUGAACCAGCCAUCCCGCGUGCAGGAAGACGGCCCUAUGGGUUGUAAACUGCUUUUCCAGGGAGAGAAACUUACGCACGUGUUGCGUGACUGACGGUACCCUGGGAAUAAGCAUCGGCUAACUCCGUGCCAGCCAGCCGCGGUAAAAAGUGUGUGUA
This 516-nucleotide ribosomal RNA is filed under the name uncultured bacterium. Its description in RNAcentral is "bacterial SSU rRNA". It matches the Rfam family "Bacterial small subunit ribosomal RNA", at positions 28 to 536 of the family's 1533-position model. The record is from RNAcentral.